Molecule: non-coding RNA, 450 nt
Organism: Lepisosteus oculatus (spotted gar)
Lineage: Eukaryota; Metazoa; Chordata; Actinopteri; Semionotiformes; Lepisosteidae
Source: RefSeq, a predicted model, not a curated record
GUCAGAAGAGUACUUUUCCUCUUUAAUAAUAGCUCACGUCGUGCCAAGAAACAACGGUUUGUAAAUUGUUAAGGAUUGAUCGAGAGGUGGCAGUAGCCAUAACAGACAGGAGUGAGAUCUGUAUAUACCAACUGCAAGGAUUCAUUGUACCAAAUCAACAGCCUGGACAACGGCUUCCACGUUUUCUCGCAGAGCUGCACACUAUGGAACAUCCUGUGGUCUACAUCGUUGGGAAACACAAUUCCGGGAUGUUUUAGGACGUUUAUGCUCUGCUCACACCUGCACUUUACAUCAAAUCUGUGUUUUUAUUUAUGUUUUGCAUGUAUUGCUGCUCGAUUUCGUUACGUUUUCUGUGACAAUGGAAUCCAUUUGCACACUUCUGUGUUAAAUGUUCUUCCAUAAAUGACGGACUGAUGACUUUUUGCAAGAAAGAUUGUCUGUUUGAGGAGA